Long non-coding RNA from Amphiprion ocellaris (clown anemonefish), 1502 nucleotides. NCBI's taxonomy places the organism in Eukaryota, Metazoa, Chordata, Actinopteri, Pomacentridae. The record is from Ensembl.
CGUCUCUUUAUGAUCGUGAUGAGUCAUAUUUCAGGAUUUUGGGGUUUAAGUAGCUCUGAAGUAACAGAAACAGAAAGAAAAACCCUCAAAAUGCUGCAUCAUCUGCUCCACGUGCUCAAGAUUCAGGCUCAUUCCAGCUCAAAUCAUCUGGGAUUUCCUGUUCAACUAUCUCUGAUUUACUUGAAUUUUUUUUUUUUUAUCAUAAACCACAGAUAUUUAAAACGGUAUCUGUGAAGUUUUAGCUUCAUACAUCAGAUACUUCCUGAGAUAAGCUUUCUUAGAAGUUGCCGGUCCACCCACUUUCAGCAGGUUUUUCUUUUUCUCAUUGAAAUUUGAGGCCGUUUGAACAACAAUAACUCAGGAACUAAGAUAGAAACAUGAAAUUUUCACAGUUAUUCCUCAUCACGCCAUUGAUUCAAAAUCAGCAAACAAUGAACAUUUAAAUGUGAAUAUUUAUUAAGAUAUUUGUGAAAUUUUAGCUUGAUAUAUCAAAUACUUUCCGAAAUAGUUGUUUUUUUUUUAAAUUGCCCGUCUACCUGCUUUCAGCUUUUUUUUCUUUUUUUUUUUUUUUUUUUUUGUCAUAUUGAAAUUUGGGGCUGUUUGAACAACAAUAACUCAGGAUCUAUUAAAGAUAAAAGCCUGGUAUUUUCACAGUUAUUUCACAUCAUAUCAUUGAUUUGGAAUCUGCAAUAUUGAACAAUUAGAUAAAAUAGUAUCUGAGACUACAUGUUUUUUCCAAAUUGCACAUGAAACCAUUUUGUUUCUUCACACAUUGACUCAGAAACUAUUAAAUAUCACAGCCUCAAGUUCUCACUGUUGUUUCUCAUCAUGUCAUUGAUUUAGAGUAUGUAAUAGAGGACAUUUAAAUAUGACUAUUUAUAAAUAUAUUUGUCAAAAGACAUUAGAAGUUUCAGUGUGAAAAUAUUUUUUUCCCCACAUUUUCCCACUUUAAAACGGGUCAGUUUUGACCCGCAGGACGACACGAGGGUUAAGGUGCGCUACAGUGAAACCACGACUCUGAUUUCCAGUUUUGUGGCCUUCAAAAGGGCAAAAAAAAUGUGACGUUUGUGUUCUCAAGUCGGUCGUUCAGUCGAGUCGAAAGUCUCCGCAGCACAAUAGCUCUUUGUUUGUCGUCGGUUCGGGCUGUCGAUGGGACUCGGAGCUGUCAUCCCAACCCUGAGCACGUAUCACUACUGUUUAUCAUCUGGCACCAGUAGAGAUGUUUGCUUUCAACUUUCCCCCCCAUCACAGCACAACCAUCAGGAAGAUCCACGCUCCAUCCUGCCAAGAAGUGGCCUAGAUUACGGCGGUGUGCAUUAGGACGCUUUGAUCAGGAGCAUUUUUAGCCAGCGACACCGAGAUGAUCCACCGUCGUCCCGUCGCUGAAACUCCUGCAAUCCCUCAUCAGAGCUGCCGCCGAGGGUUACUCUGAAGAUGUAGUUCGCUGCAGAGUGCUGCCUCGAAAUGUAGUUUACGUUGGUGUGACAGAGUCAUUUGGAUUU